UACGUAGGGGGCUAGCGUUGUUCGGAUUUACUGGGCGUAAAGCGCACGUAGGCGGAUUGUUAAGUCAGGGGUGAAAUCCUGGAGCUCAACUCCAGAACUGCCUUUGAUACUGGCAAUCUAGAGUCCGGAAGAGGUGAGUGGAACUCCUAGUGUAGAGGUGGAAUUCGUAGAUAUUCGCAAGAACACCAGUGGCGAAGGCGGCUCACUGGCCCGGUACUGACGCUGAGGUGCGAAAGCGUGGGGAGCAAACAGG
RNAcentral lists this ribosomal RNA (253 nucleotides) under uncultured bacterium. Its description in RNAcentral is "partial 16S ribosomal RNA". It matches the Rfam family "Bacterial small subunit ribosomal RNA", at positions 524 to 776 of the family's 1533-position model. The record is from RNAcentral.